GCGCACGGGUGAGUAACACGUGACUAAUCUACCCUCGAGUGGGGAAUAACUGAGAGAAAUCUUAGCUAAUACCGCAUAACACUUACGAGUCAAAGCAGCAAUGCGCUUGGGGAGGAGGUCGCGGCCGAUUAGCUAGUUGGCGGGGUAAUGGCCCACCAAGGCGAUGAUCGGUAUCCGGCCUGAGAGGGCGCACGGACACACUGGAACUGAAACACGGUCCAGACUCCUACGGGAGGCAGCAGUGGGGAAUUUUGCGCAAUGGGGGAAACCCUGACGCAGCAACGCCGCGUGGAGGAUGAAGUAUCUCGGUACGUAAACUCCUUUCGAUGGGGAAGAUAAUGACGGUACCCAUAGAAGAAGCCCCGGCUAACUUCGUGCCAGCAGCCGCGGUAAUACGAGGGGGGCAAGCGUUGUUCGGAUUUAUUGGGCGUAAAGGGUGCGUAGGCGGUUUGGCAAGUCUCGUGUGAAAUCUAUGGGCUCAACCCAUAGUCUGCACGAGAAACUACCGGGCUUGAGUGAUGGAGAGGUGAGUGGGAAUUCCGGUGUACGGUGAAAUG
This 557-nucleotide ribosomal RNA is filed under the name uncultured bacterium. RNAcentral describes it as "bacterial SSU rRNA". It matches the Rfam family "Bacterial small subunit ribosomal RNA", at positions 98 to 688 of the family's 1533-position model. The record is from RNAcentral.